RNAcentral lists this long non-coding RNA (810 nucleotides) under Homo sapiens (human). RNAcentral describes it as "HSALNT0041360". The record is from RNAcentral. Lineage: Eukaryota; Metazoa; Chordata; Mammalia; Primates; Hominidae.
CGAACUCCUGACCUCAAGUGAUCCACCCUCCUCGGCCUCCCAAAGUGCUGGGAUUACAGGCUUUACCCACUUUUAAUGGGAUUUUUUUUUUCUGUUGAAUUGUUUGAGUUACUUGUAUAUUCUGGAUAUUAGUCCCUUGUUGUACAAAGAGUUUAUAGGUAUUUUCUACUAUUCUGUAGGUUGUCUCUUCACUCUGUUGAUUUUUUUCUUUGCUAUGCAGAAGAUUUUUAAUUUAUUACAGCCCCAUUUGUCUUUUCCUUAUUUUUGUUGCCUGUGCUUUUAAGGUCUUAGUCAUAAAAUCUUUGCCUAGACCAAUGUCCUGAAAUGUUUCCCUUAUGUUUUCUUCUAAUGGUUUUAUAUAUUGGUUUUAUAUUUAAGCCUUUAAUCCAAAUUGAGUUGAUCUUUAUGUAUGGUGAAAGACAGGGGUCCAACUUUUUUUUCUGCAUAUGAAUGUCCAAUUUUCCCAAAACCAUUUAAUGAAGAGGAUGUCCUUUCCUCAAGAAGAAGAAACUGAGGCAUGAGGAAGUAUUAUUGUCAACAGAUAACAAAUAACAGAUCCAGGAUUCAGACCCAGGAAAUCUGGCUCUAGAAUCUGCACUUGUUUCAACCACUACACUCUGCUUUGUCAGAUGGCCAUGCCCUGAUGACUACAACAGUCUUGGUGACUGUCAAUGUCUUGUCAUAUAUAUUUUACCUAUGGAAUUGACUGUGAGAUGUCUUAGAUCAGUCUGUUUCUCAUUCAAUAUGGAACAUAUUUGCAAAAGCGUUUCAAAUGAUAUCUUACCACCUGUCAUGCCAACUUCUUGCCAC